Long non-coding RNA from Lolium rigidum, 288 nucleotides. RefSeq lists it as uncharacterized. The record is from RefSeq and is a predicted model, not a curated record. Lineage: Eukaryota; Viridiplantae; Streptophyta; Magnoliopsida; Poales; Poaceae. The transcript has 4 exons.
UAGUGAAAAUGAACGUCUACGGAGGGAAAAUCGCAAUCUACAACGGGAGAAUGAACAACUGCGAGGCGUGACACAUGUUGUGCGGGCUUUGACAAAUCAAGGAGGUCUAGACUUUGAUGCUCUGAUGCGGGAAGGUGCACAUCAUGCGUCGGACACAUAUGAUUCUGAAUGGGAAUACUACAGUGGCAACGAUGGUCAAUAUGGAUCUGAACAUGGCACUGGAAGCGACAUUGAUGGUGGUAACAAUCAUCUUGACAAUGAAGACGAUUGGGCAGAUUUUAAUUAGAG